AAUGUCAUUGCUCUAAUUUAAAUAUUUCAUAUUCAGUUCAAAUGUUUAAUAUAUCUGCUAUUCAUAUGUUCAUUUAUUAGUGUGUUAUAUGAUUAGAAUGUUGUCUCGGUUUUAAAAUAAAGCACAGCAAUGAUAUAUCGAAAUCGCAAUUCUUGACUAGAGAAUAUUAUGUUUAAGUCAUUAUUUAUUCAUAGAGAUUCAUUUAAAAAAAUUUAACAUGAAAAGAUGUGUUUCUAACUGAGGUGAACAAGCUGUGCAUUUAUAAUAUUUUUAUUAAGCCGAAUGUUGAAGAUAUCAAUAUGUUUUGUGCAUUUAUUGUAUACUCUAUUGUAACUUUCGAUCCUGAGCAAGAUUAAAGGCUCUGAUAAACUUCAAACAAAGUUCUUUUUCGGGCUUUGUUUUGGGGCAAAACAAAAGUUAAAAAAGGCUGAGCGACGGUAUACUGUUAACUAACUUUUCAACACCCGGCACUGCUGGAGGCCGGUGUAGAUUAGUGUAAAUGUGUCACGAUGCUUGCACCUAUCCCCUAAACACAACAACGAUGAAAUUAUGAAGUGUAGCCAAUCUAGGUGUAAGACUGGUACCAAUAGUCAGAAUAUUAUAAACAAAAGAAUAAUGAUUAGCAGUAGU
Molecule: long non-coding RNA, 630 nt
Organism: Carassius gibelio (silver crucian carp)
Lineage: Eukaryota; Metazoa; Chordata; Actinopteri; Cypriniformes; Cyprinidae
Exons: 2
Source: RefSeq, a predicted model, not a curated record